GGGCGUUUAGCACAGUGGUAGCGCGUAUGCUUUGCAUUGCCAGGUCUUCCUGCAAUAGCGACUUGCAUAAAGUCCAGGGUUCAAUCCCCUGAACGUCCA
RNAcentral lists this transfer RNA (99 nucleotides) under Serpula lacrymans var. lacrymans S7.3. It matches the Rfam family "tRNA". Rfam says of the family: Transfer RNA (tRNA) molecules are approximately 80 nucleotides in length. Their secondary structure includes four short double-helical elements and three loops (D, anti-codon, and T loops). Lineage: Eukaryota; Fungi; Basidiomycota; Agaricomycetes; Boletales; Serpulaceae. The record is from Rfam by way of RNAcentral.